AGAGUUUGAUCAUGGCUCAGGACGAACGCUGGCGGCGUGCUUAACACAUGCAAGUCGAACGGUGACGGAGGAGCUUGCUCCUCCUGAUCAGUGGCGAACGGGUGAGUAACACGUGAGCAAUCUGCCCCUGACUCUGGGAUAACCUCGGGAAACCGAAGCUAAUACCGGAUACGAAGCGCGAAGGCAUCUUCAGCGCUUGGAAAGAAUUUCGGUCAGGGAUGAGCUCGCGGCCUAUCAGUUAGUUGGUGAGGUAACGGCUCACCAAGACGACGACGGGUAGCCGGCCUGAGAGGGUGACCGGCCACACUGGGACUGAGACACGGCCCAGACUCCUACGGGAGGCAGCAGUGGGGAAUAUUGCACAAUGGGCGCAAGCCUGAUGCAGCAACGCCGCGUGAGGGAUGACGGCCUUCGGGUUGUAAACCUCUUUUAGCAGGGAAGAAGCGAAAGUGACGGUACCUGCAGAAAAAGCACCGGCUAACUACGUGCCAGCAGCCGCGGUAAUACGUAGGGUGCAAGCGUUGUCCGGAAUUAUUGGGCGUAAAGAGCUCGUAGGCGGUUUGUCGCGUCUGCUGUGAAAACGCGAGGCUCAACCUCGCGCCUGCAGUGGGUACGGGCAAACUAGAGUGCGGUAGGGGAGAUUGGAAUUCCUGGUGUAGCGGUGGAAUGCGCAGAUAUCAGGAGGAACACCGAUGGCGAAGGCAGAUCUCUGGGCCGUAACUGACGCUGAGGAGCGAAAGCGUGGGGAGCGAACAGGAUUAGAUACCCUAGUAGUCC
Molecule: ribosomal RNA, 777 nt
Filed under: uncultured bacterium
Lineage: Bacteria
Description: bacterial SSU rRNA
Rfam family: Bacterial small subunit ribosomal RNA
Source: RNAcentral